RNAcentral lists this ribosomal RNA (242 nucleotides) under uncultured Actinomycetales bacterium. RNAcentral's name for it is "partial 16S ribosomal RNA". It matches the Rfam family "Bacterial small subunit ribosomal RNA", at positions 89 to 334 of the family's 1533-position model. Lineage: Bacteria; Bacillati; Actinomycetota; Actinomycetes; Actinomycetales. The record is from RNAcentral.
ACUCGAGUGGCGAACGGGUGAGUAACACGUGGGUGAUCUGCCCUGCACUUCGGGAUAAGCUUGGGAAACUGGGUCUAAUACCGGAUAGGAGCCAUCUUUAGUGUGGUGGUUGGAAGGUUUUUUCGGUGUAGGAUGAGCUCGCGGCCUAUCAGCUUGUUGGUGGGGUAAUGGCCUACCAAGGCGGCGACGGGUAGCCGGCCUGAGAGGGUGACCGGCCACAUUGGGACUGAGAUACGGCCCAG